GAUGAACGCUGACGGCGUGCCUAAUACAUGCAAGUCGAGCGAACGGACGAGAAGCUUGCUUCUCUGAUGUUAGCGGCGGACGGGUGAGUAACACGUGGAUAACCUACCUAUAAGACUGGGAUAACUUCGGGAAACCGGAGCUAAUACCGGAUAAUAUUUUGAACCGCAUGGUUCAAAAGUGAAAGACGGUCUUGCUGUCACUUAUAGAUGGAUCCGCGCUGCAUUAGCUAGUUGGUAAGGUAACGGCUUACCAAGGCAACGAUGCAUAGCCGACCUGAGAGGGUGAUCGGCCACACUGGAACUGAGACACGGUCCAGACUCCUACGGGAGGCAGCAGUAGGGAAUCUUCCGCAAUGGGCGAAAGCCUGACGGAGCAACGCCGCGUGAGUGAUGAAGGUCUGCGGAUCGUAAAACUCUGUUAUUAGGGAAGAACAUAUGUGUAAGUAACUGUGCACAUCUGGACGGUACCUAAUCAGAAAGCCACGGCGAACUACGU
RNAcentral lists this ribosomal RNA (496 nucleotides) under uncultured bacterium. RNAcentral's name for it is "partial 16S ribosomal RNA". It matches the Rfam family "Bacterial small subunit ribosomal RNA", at positions 28 to 506 of the family's 1533-position model. The record is from RNAcentral.